This 426-nucleotide ribosomal RNA is filed under the name uncultured bacterium. RNAcentral's name for it is "partial 16S ribosomal RNA". It matches the Rfam family "Bacterial small subunit ribosomal RNA", at positions 354 to 796 of the family's 1533-position model. The record is from RNAcentral.
GUGAGGAAUUUUCCGCAAUGGGCGAAAGCCUGACGGAGCAAUGCCGCGUGAAGGAUGAAGGCCUAUGGGUUGUAAACUUCUUUUCUCAGAAAAGAAUUAUGACGGUAUCUGAGGAAUAAGCAUCGGCUAACUCUGUGCCAGCAGCCGCGGUAAGACAGAGGAUGCAAGCGUUAUCCGGAAUGAUUGGGCGUAAAGCGUCUGUAGGUUGUUUAAAAAGUAUUCUGUCAAAGAUUAGGGCUUAACCCUAGAUAGGCAGAAUAAACUUUUAAGCUAGAGUUUGGUAGAGGCAGAGGGAAUUCCCGGUGGAGAGGUGAAAUGCGUAGAUAUCGGGAGGAACACCAAAGGCGAAGGCACUCUGCUGGGCCAAUACUAACACUGAGAGACGAAAGCGAGGGGAGCAAAUGGGAUUAGAUACCCGUGUAGUCC